GGCCCUGUAGCAGAAUCGGUCAGUGCAUCUGUUUGUGAACCAGAAAGUGGUGGUUUGAUCCCACCCAGGGAUG
This is a non-coding RNA of Podarcis lilfordi (Lilford's wall lizard), 73 nucleotides long. The record is from the annotation of a GenBank genome assembly. NCBI's taxonomy places the organism in Eukaryota, Metazoa, Chordata, Lepidosauria, Squamata, Lacertidae.